UCGGGUACAAUUCUAAAACGAUAUAAGAUAACGCAACAACGUUCAACAAAUUAAGCUAAAAACGAUAAACAAAUAAUUUCACUUAGAAAUUAAACAGGUAAUCCUAGGUUCUAGCAACAAACAAUGGUUACCAAGCAAUGGCAACCCCCAAACCUAUGUGAUCACCUCACACGAUGAUCUGCUAGUGCGAUAAUGUAAAGGUUUC
This 205-nucleotide long non-coding RNA is filed under the name Olea europaea (common olive). RNAcentral describes it as "long non-coding RNA (OEUR_LNC006459)". Lineage: Eukaryota; Viridiplantae; Streptophyta; Magnoliopsida; Lamiales; Oleaceae. The record is from RNAcentral.